AAACCAACAGGGAUUGCCUUAGUAGCGGCGAGUGAAGCGGCAAGAGCUCAAAUUUGAAAUCUGGUACCUUCGGUGCCCGAGUUGUAAUUUGAAGAAGGGUAUCUUGACUUUGGCCUUUGUCUAUGUUCCUUGGAACAGGACGUCACAGAGGGUGAGAAUCCCGUGCGAUGAGGUGUCCUUUGUCAUAUAAGAUUCCUUCGAAGAGUCGAGUUGUUUGGGAAUGCAGCUCUAAGUGGGUGGUAAAUUCCAUCUAAGGCUAAAUAUUGGCGAGAGACCGAUAGCGAACAAGUACAGUGAUGGAAAGAUGAAAAGAACUUUGAAAAGAGAGUGAAAAAGUACGUGAAAUUGUUGAAAGGGAAGGGUAUUAGAUCAGACUUGGUAUUUAGUUAUCAUCUCUCCUUGUGGGGGGUGCUCUAGCUGUUUACUGGGCCAGCAUCAGUUUUGGUGGCAGGAUAAUGACAUUUGAAUGUGGCUCCUUUGGAGUGUUAUAGCUUUUGUUGAUACUGCCUACUGGGACUGAGGUCUGCGGCUUUGCCUAGGAUGCUGGCGUAAUGAUCCAAUACCGC
This 566-nucleotide ribosomal RNA is filed under the name Ogataea ovalis. Its description in RNAcentral is "eukaryotic LSU rRNA". It matches the Rfam family "Eukaryotic large subunit ribosomal RNA", at positions 62 to 648 of the family's 3401-position model. The record is from RNAcentral. Lineage: Eukaryota; Fungi; Ascomycota; Pichiomycetes; Pichiales; Pichiaceae.